AAGAAAGAACUGAAGCAGGGAAAGAUGAGAUCAAUUGUUUGGCUCGGAAGUGGCAAGACCAGGACCCAAACUGAGAUCUACCUGAUUGGAGAAGCCCAGUGAGUCUCUAGUUUAAUAAGAGGCAACCUCUCUACUCAAAUAUGCUCUGGCCUGCAAUAAAAGUUACAUUUUUGGACCCUGGAAACUCAAGUCCCAGAUACAGUGAAACCCAAACCACUUGCCACUUCUACUUCUCUCUCUUGCCAGAAGAUUUUGGUGCAACAGAAGAGCAGGAGGCACAUACCGUAUGUUUUUCAUUCAUUUAUGCUGAAGUCGUCAAAACGUUCCUUUUUUUAUGAGCCAUUUGAUGUCGAAAAAGCCUUUUGAGUUGCAUUUAUAACCCUUUAAAAAGCUCAUUCCUCUUCGAAACAGGAAGCCACUUUGUGAACAGAGUAAACACAGCCCAAGUGUGGAAGAUGGGAGAGGGAGGCACCCCAGCUCCGGGAGCCUCUGGUUCGGGGUGAAAGCCUUCACCACCCACGGCUCCUUGUGGCCUUGGUGGUUGGAGGGGGUGAGGGGAUCAGAUGGGGCGGCAGUGGCCCAUGCUCAUGGAGCAGCUCUGCAAUGCGUGCAUCUGCGGUUGGUCAUUGUGCUUGUGAGUCUAUGCCAGCACCGCAGAAGGGAUGCUUGGCUCACUCUGGCUCCUCUCUGCCUCCUCCAGGGGUUCACUGUCUACGAGUUCGGUUCCCUACUCAUGUACAACAUAGUGGAUGGGCCAGCUGGUCUCCAAAGGCCUUUAAGCUCACUGGAGUUAUGCUUUUUUCUAGAUCUUAGGUGCCUUCCUCCAACACAGCAUAUUCACGGCACACUCGAUGUGACUUCCCCAUUCAACACCCAUAAUACACAUGAUAAUGAUAAAGAUAAUGAGCCUUUUCCACUGACCUCAGAUAUGAAUUUAGAAUCCCUUCCCACAGAGUCCCCCAAAGCAAUGGCUUCCAAAGAUUUAGCCUUGGCACACAUGGGAGAAAAUGGAUCACAGGUCAACCGUGGCCCAGGUAGUGAUAGGAGUUCUAACAUCAAAUCCUCUAGGGCAGGAAUGGCUCUCACGAAGGCCCAGCUAUAGACACAAGUGCAGUUUAAAGACAAAAUAAAAUAGAAAAAAAAAAUCAAAUGAGGUGAAGCAAAAUAAAGCAAAACAAAAGUUGAAACAGUGAAAUAAAAUAAGCUGAAACCGAGAGUCCCUUGCUGUGUGACCUACAGCAGGUGGCUAACUUCUCUGAGUCUGUUUUCUGACCCACCCAAUGGUGUGGCAAGGCUUACCUUCCCAUUCCAGUUUUUCUUGCUCUUCCCCCGCUUUUUUUUUUUUUUUUUAAUAUAGUUGACAAAGAGCACUUGCAUUCAUUGUGAUCAUAAUGCUAACCUUUAUCCUGAACGCCAUGGUGCGUGACUUUUUCACAUUCUAUUGUUUCUAACACCGAGACGUGCCUACAGAUGUCUUGCGCAGUUAAGGUUCCAGAAGAAAAUAAAAGCCUUCGAAUAAAACAAA
Molecule: long non-coding RNA, 1525 nt
Organism: Mustela lutreola (European mink)
Lineage: Eukaryota; Metazoa; Chordata; Mammalia; Carnivora; Mustelidae
Exons: 2
Source: RefSeq, a predicted model, not a curated record